CCUACGGGUGGCAGCAGUGAGGAAUAUUGGUCAAUGGCCGGAAGGCUGAACCAGCCAAGCCGCGUGAAGGACGAAGGUGCCAAGCAUUGUAAACUUCUUUUGUCAAGGGACAAACUGAGGCACGAGAGCCUGACCGAGGGUACCUGAAGAAAAAGCAUCGGCUAACUCCGUGCCAGCAGCCGCGGUAAUACGGAGGAUGCGAGCGUUAUCGGAAUUUCUGGGGGUAAAGGGAGCGUAGACGGUAUGGCAAGUUUGAAGUGAAAGCCCAGGGCUUAACCCUGGGACUGCUGUGGAAACUGUUAGUCUAGAGUGCUGGAGAGGUAAGCGGAAUGCGUGGUGUAGCGGUGAAAUGCGUAGAUAUUAGGAAGAACACCGGUUGCGAAGGCGGCUUACUGGACAGUAACUGACGUUGAGGCUCGAAAGCGUGGGGAGCAAACAGGAUUAGAUACCCGAGUAGUC
Molecule: ribosomal RNA, 459 nt
Filed under: uncultured bacterium
Lineage: Bacteria
Description: partial 16S ribosomal RNA
Rfam family: Bacterial small subunit ribosomal RNA
Source: RNAcentral